GUGAGGAAUUUUCCGCAAUGGGCGAAAGCCGGACGGAGCAAUGCCGCGUGAAGGAUGAAGGCCUAUGGGUUGUAAACUUCUUUUCUUAGAGAAGAAUAUUGACGGUAUCUGAGGAAUAAGCAUCGGCUAACUCUGUGCCAGCAGCCGCGGUAAGACAGAGGAUGCAAGCGUUAUCCGGAAUGAUUGGGCGUAAAGCGUCUGUAGGUGGCUUCAAAAGUCUCCUGUCAAAGAUCAGGGCUUAACCCUGGGCCGGCAGGAGCAACUCUGAGGCUAGAGUUUGGUAGGGGCAGAGGGAAUUCCCGGUGGAGCGGUGAAAUGCGUAGAGAUCGGGAGGAACACCAAAGGCGAAAGCACUCUGCUGGGCCACAACUGACACUGAGAGACGAAAGCGAGGGGAGCAAAAGGGAUUAGAUACCCUUGUAGUCC
RNAcentral lists this ribosomal RNA (426 nucleotides) under uncultured bacterium. RNAcentral's name for it is "partial 16S ribosomal RNA". It matches the Rfam family "Bacterial small subunit ribosomal RNA", at positions 354 to 796 of the family's 1533-position model. The record is from RNAcentral.